RNAcentral lists this transfer RNA (68 nucleotides) under Upogebia bowerbankii. Its description in RNAcentral is "tRNA-Gln". The record is from RNAcentral. Lineage: Eukaryota; Metazoa; Arthropoda; Malacostraca; Decapoda; Upogebiidae.
UAUAUAGUGGUGUAAAGGCACGUAAAAUUUUGAUUUUUAAGGAGAAAGUGUAAAACUAUCUUAUAUAA